GAUGAACGCUGGCGGCGUGCCUAAUACAUGCAAGUCGAGCGAACGGACGAGAAGCUUGCUUCUCUGAUGUUAGCGGCGGACGGGUGAGUAACACGUGGAUAACCUACCUAUAAGACUGGGAUAACUUCGGGAAACCGGAGCUAAUACCGGAUAAUAUUUUGAACCGCAUGGUUCAAAAGUGAAAGACGGUCUUGCUGUCACUUAUAGAUGGAUCCGCGCUGCAUUAGCUAGUUGGUAAGGUAACGGCUUACCAAGGCAACGAUGCAUAGCCGACCUGAGAGGGUGAUCGGCCACACUGGAACUGAGACACGGUCCAGACUCCUACGGGAGGCAGCAGUAGGGAAUCUUCCGCAAAGGGCGAAAGCCUGACGGAGCAACGCCGCGUGAGUGAUGAAGGUCUUCGGAUCGUAAAACUCUGUUAUUAGGGAAAAACAUAUGUGUAAGUAACUGUGCACAUCUUGACGGUACCUAAUCAGAAAGCCACGGCUAACUACGUG
This 497-nucleotide ribosomal RNA is filed under the name uncultured bacterium. RNAcentral's name for it is "partial 16S ribosomal RNA". It matches the Rfam family "Bacterial small subunit ribosomal RNA", at positions 28 to 507 of the family's 1533-position model. The record is from RNAcentral.